Brachypodium distachyon (stiff brome) is the source of this 1259-nucleotide RNA transcript. RefSeq lists it as uncharacterized. NCBI's taxonomy places the organism in Eukaryota, Viridiplantae, Streptophyta, Magnoliopsida, Poales, Poaceae. The record is from RefSeq and is a predicted model, not a curated record. The transcript has 3 exons.
GAAAAAAAUACGAAACGAAGAAGCUAGUCCGUUCGACUUCUUCCUCUCACGAUCUCACGAUCCACCAGGCAUCCGCGAUCAGCGGCCGGUGCGGAGGACCUGGCCGGCGACCGGCACAGAGGGCCUAGCAGCUGGCAGCAGGUUUGUGAGAAAUUCACUGAACUGAGAGGGACUAAGGAGUAGCAGAGUAAGAAUUGAAUCGAGCUUUAUGAUAGAAUCGAAUCAUGGAUCAAACCAGUCGGUUACGACGAACAAAGCAGGCAUCUUUUCUUUUAUGGGAAAAAAGCACUCAAUUAGCUGGCUGAUUAACCAAAUUACAGUUACAUUUUAGGAGACCCUGGACAGGCCCAGGAUCGAACCAAUUAAGAGACCAGACGAAGCUUUUUCUCUAGCAAACUGCCCAGACCGGGCAAUCCAGCUAAUUCUAACCUGCCUAUCAAGAUCGCGAAGACUGAAACAAGCUGACAAACGAUUAGCCUCCGCCGAUUUGACACUGUCAAUGAGCACCUGACAGUCGCUUUCCAAAUGCACAUAAGCACCAGUAUCUGUGCAUAGGCCAGCAAUGCCUUCCCGAGCAGGCACGACUUUCGGCUUCCAGAAAGAUGAUCUGACCGUCGUGUGAGCGAAGAACCGCGCCCCACCAUGAGUCGCCAUUCCUAGGGAUGAGCCUGGGUCGGCGUUUGGUUGACCAUGGUUGUUGGUAGUGACGGCGGAUGACGUGGCAUGUUCGUAAUUUUGAUGAAAAAACAACGACCUACCGCCGUCCGCCAUCACCACUAACUGCAAUUUAAUACUCUUUCCGAUGCUAAAUUGUUGUCGAAAUAUUAUACGUAUCUAGACGCUUUUAAGAAUAGAUACAUUCAUAUUUGGACAAAUUUGAGCCAAGAAUUUAGUAUCAGAGGGAGUAGAUAGUAAUAAAUUUUUGCAAAGGUUCUUGUUGGCGGCGGUGGCUUGUUAGCAACGGUUUCGACGCUGAUGUGUUGUUGUCGCCGAAUUUAGGGAUUUGGGUGCUCUUUGGUUGUGUGGCUGUAGCCGCUGAGGUAUUGCACUUCUUCCUCCUCUGGUUAUCUAGAUUUCAUUUGUUGACUAUGAUGGUUCGGAGUCGGUGAUUCCGUUUGCCAUUUUACUAUUAUGGCCGGAUAUGUAAAUCUGAGUGUUGUUUCGUUGUGUGUCCGUUACGGUGUUGCACGUAGGUGGUUUUGUCUUCCCCGAUCGUUUGGGGUUUUGUUGUGCUUUAUCUUUAUUGAUUAUGUUUUGUU